This 336-nucleotide long non-coding RNA is filed under the name Capsicum annuum. RNAcentral describes it as "long non-coding RNA (CANN_LNC022317)". Lineage: Eukaryota; Viridiplantae; Streptophyta; Magnoliopsida; Solanales; Solanaceae. The record is from RNAcentral.
CCUCGCUCUCCUCAGCAAUCGAAUCGUCGUCGUCGAUGUCGCUUCCAUCCGUCAGAGGUAAUUGAUCCGAAGUUUUGAAAUUGCUCGACUCUUCUUUUUCUUCUGCAUCUUCCUCCUCAUUCACCUUUUGCUUCUUCACCGAUGGCUCAUAAUCUGAUUGGCUUGAGUAUUCUGAUUCGCUUUCCUUUUCACCUUUCUGAUGGCAGCGGUGGCUUUUCACCUUCUGAUGGUGGUGGUAAUGGCGGCGGCGGCUGUGACAACAAAUUGACAAAACCCUAGCAUCACAAAUUUGGGUAUGUACUAUUGCCCCAAUAGAGCCUUUAAAUAGAGGUGGAC